AGAACGAACGCUGGCGGCAUGCCUAACACAUGCAAGUCGAACGAGACCUUCGGGUCUAGUGGCGCACGGGUGCGUAACGCGUGGGAAUCUGCCCUUGGGUUCGGGAUAACAGUUGGAAACGACUGCUAAUACCGGAUGAUGACUUCGGUCCAAAGAUUUAUCGCCCAGGGAUGAGCCCGCGUAAGAUUAGCUAGUUGGUGGGGUAAAGGCCUACCAAGGCAACGAUCUUUAGCUGGUCUGAGAGGAUGAUCAGCCACACGUGGGACUGAGACACGGCCCAGACCUCCGUACGGGAGGCAGCAGUGGGGAAUAUUGGACAAGUGGGACGAAAGCCUGA
Molecule: ribosomal RNA, 337 nt
Filed under: uncultured soil bacterium
Lineage: Bacteria
Description: bacterial SSU rRNA
Rfam family: Bacterial small subunit ribosomal RNA
Source: RNAcentral